RNAcentral lists this ribosomal RNA (404 nucleotides) under uncultured bacterium. Its description in RNAcentral is "bacterial SSU rRNA". It matches the Rfam family "Bacterial small subunit ribosomal RNA", at positions 357 to 776 of the family's 1533-position model. The record is from RNAcentral.
GGGAAUAUUGGGCAAUGGGCGGAAGCCUGACCCAGCAACGCCGCGUGAAGGAAGAAGGCCCUCGGGUUGUAAACUUCUUUUCUAUAGGACGAAGAAGUGACGGUACUAUAGGAAUAAGCCACGGCUAACUACGUGCCAGCAGCCGCGGUAAUACGUAGGUGGCGAGCGUUAUCCGGAUUUACUGGGUGUAAAGGGCGUGUAGGCGGGAGAGCAAGUCAGAUGUGAAAACUACAGGCUUAACCUGUAGCCUGCAUUUGAAACUGUUCUUCUUGAGUGAUGGAGAGGCAGGCGGAAUUCCUAGUGUAGCGGUGAAAUGCGUAGAUAUUAGGAGGAACACCAGUGGCGAAGGCGGCCUGCUGGACAUUAACUGACGCUGAGGCGCGAAAGCGUGGGGAGCAAACAGG